This 468-nucleotide ribosomal RNA is filed under the name uncultured bacterium. RNAcentral's name for it is "partial 16S ribosomal RNA". It matches the Rfam family "Bacterial small subunit ribosomal RNA", at positions 28 to 507 of the family's 1533-position model. The record is from RNAcentral.
GACGAACGCUGGCGGCGUGCUUAACACAUGCAAGUCGAACGGAAAGGCCCUGCUUUUGUGGGGUGCUCGAGUGGCGAACGGGUGAGUAACACGUGAGUAACCUGCCCUUGACUUUGGGAUAACUUCAGGAAACUGGGGCUAAUACCGGAUAGGAGCUCCUGCUGCAUGGUGGGGGUUGGAAAGUUUCGGCGGUUGGGGAUGGACUCGCGGCUUAUCAGCUUGUUGGUGGGGUAGUGGCUUACCAAGGCUUUGACGGGUAGCCGGCCUGAGAGGGUGACCGGCCACAUUGGGACUGAGAUACGGCCCAGACUCCUACGGGAGGCAGCAGUGGGGAAUAUUGCACAAUGGGCGGAAGCCUGAUGCAGCAACGCCGCGUGCGGGAUGACGGCCCUCGGGUUGUAAACCGCUUUCGCCUGUGACGAAGCGUGAGUGACGGUAAUGGGUAAGAAAGCACCGGCUAACUACGUG